RNAcentral lists this ribosomal RNA (301 nucleotides) under uncultured bacterium. Its description in RNAcentral is "bacterial SSU rRNA". It matches the Rfam family "Bacterial small subunit ribosomal RNA", at positions 195 to 507 of the family's 1533-position model. The record is from RNAcentral.
AACGUACCAAAGUAUUUAUCCGACCCGAAAGGAUGACGCCCGACGUAAGUAUUAGCUAGUUGGUGGGGUAAAGGCCUACCAAGGCGACGAUCUUUAGCUGGUCUGAGAGGAUGAUCAGCCACACUGGGACUGAGACACGGCCCAGACUCCUACGGGAGGCAGCAGGUGGGGAAUAUUGGACAAUGGGCGAAAGCCUGAUCCAGCAAUGCCGCGUGAGUGAUGAAGGCCUUAGGGUUGUAAAGCUCUUUUACCAGGGAUGAUAAUGACAGUACCUGGAGAAUAAGCUCCGGCUAACUCCGUG